AAUAUCCACAUCUGGUGAGGACACAAAAGCAGCAGGAGACAUAAACAGGCUGCCAGCAACUCUCUGGCAUCAACAGAUGGUGUCUUUCCAAAUAUAGAUACCAAAAAGGGAAAACUCUAUCCAUUCAUGGAACAAAAGUGAAAUGUUUAGGAAACAACGAGAUGGCUGAAGACUGCAUCAGGAGGUCCUGGCGGAGGCAGUGUGUCUCGUCCACGGAGUCUCAAGCCCCGCUGUUCGGUCGCAACAAAACAAACAUGUGCCUCAGAUCAUAAACAAACUAGAGCUGUUAGUGUUGAUAAUUCCAUUUUUAUUAAAUGAUCUUUGAUUGCCCUUCAAUUUGUUAGUCAGGUUGACGUAGGGCCCACAUUUUCUGCUCCCAACCAUCUUUGUCUUUACUGUUGAGUAUUUUUACCAGUUCUUCUGUCAAUCCAACUUAUCCAAAGUCAACACUUGGCUGAGCAUCCGUAUUUUGCUUGGCUAAGCAGCCACAUAAGCAUCUAAGCUCCAUUGGGACCGAGAAAGAGAAGAAAUUAGAAGGGCACCUUUUGGCAAAAUUGGCAGAAAUCAUCCGAGACAUCACUAUUUUUUUAUGAGGGAGGUAUUUUUAGAUUUGUGCCUCUGCUAGACUUUUCCAUUUUAAAAGUAAAACGUACAUGGAUAAUCAGUUCAUGUUUUGAAAGGCACAUUGAACAAACAUGAAAUAUAUGCUUUAUGUAAUCCAGCCCAAUUUUCAUCACAUGGUUCAGUAAAGAGUGUGACAG
Molecule: long non-coding RNA, 761 nt
Organism: Osmerus eperlanus (European smelt)
Lineage: Eukaryota; Metazoa; Chordata; Actinopteri; Osmeriformes; Osmeridae
Exons: 3
Source: RefSeq, a predicted model, not a curated record